ACUGCAGUCGAGCGGACAGAUGGGAGCUUGCUCCCUGAUGUUAGCGGCGGACGGGUGAGUAACACGUGGGUAACCUGCCUGUAAGACUGGGAUAACUCCGGGAAACCGGGGCUAAUACCGGAUGCUUGAUUGAACCGCAUGGUUCAAUUAUAAAAGGUGGCUUUUAGCUACCACUUACAGAUGGACCCGCGGCGCAUUAGCUAGUUGGUGAGGUAACGGCUCACCAAGGCGACGAUGCGUAGCCGACCUGAGAGGGUGAUCGGCCACACUGGGACUGAGACACGGCCCAGACUCCUACGGGAGGCAGCAGUAGGGAAUCUUCCGCAAUGGACGAAAGUCUGACGGAGCAACGCCGCGUGAGUGAUGAAGGUUUUCGGAUCGUAAAACUCUGUUGUUAGGGAAGAACAAGUACCGUUCGAAUAGGGCGGUACCUUGACGGUACCUAACCAGAAAGCCACGGCUAACUACGUGCCAGCAGCCGCGGUAAUACGUAGGUGGCAAGCGUUGUCCGGAAUUAUUGGGCGUAAAGCGCGCGCAGGCGGUUUCUUAAGUCUGAUGUGAAAGCCCCCGGCUCAACCCGGGGAGGGUCAUUGGAAACUGGGGAACUUGAGUGCAGAAGAGGAGAGUGGAAUUCCACGUGUAGCGGUGAAAUGCGUAGAGAUGUGGAGGAACACCAGUGGCGAAGGCGACUCUCUGGUCUGUAACUGACGCUGAGGCGCGAAAGCGUGGGGAGCGAACAGGAUUAGAUACCCUGGUAGUCCACGCCGUAAACGAUGAGUGCUAAGUGUUAGAGGGUUUCCGCCCUUUAGUGCUGCAGCAAACGCAUUAAGCACUCCGCCUGGGGAGUACGGUCGCAAGACUGAAACUCAAAGGAAUUGACGGGGGCCCGCACAAGCGGUGGAGCAUGUGGUUUAAUUCGAAGCAACGCGAAGAACCUUACCAGGUCUUGACAUCCUCUGACAACCCUAGAGAUAGGGCUUCCCCUUCGGGGGCAGAGUGACAGGUGGUGCAUGGUUGUCGUCAGCUCGUGUCGUGAGAUGUUGGGUUAAGUCCCGCAACGAGCGCAACCCUUGAUCUUAGUUGCCAGCAUUCAGUUGGGCACUCUAAGGUGACUGCCGGUGACAAACCGGAGGAAGGUGGGGAUGACGUCAAAUCAUCA
RNAcentral lists this ribosomal RNA (1159 nucleotides) under Bacillus sp. (in: firmicutes). RNAcentral's name for it is "bacterial SSU rRNA". It matches the Rfam family "Bacterial small subunit ribosomal RNA", at positions 53 to 1195 of the family's 1533-position model. Lineage: Bacteria; Bacillati; Bacillota; Bacilli; Caryophanales; Bacillaceae. The record is from RNAcentral.